AACGGCAGCACGGGUGCUUGCACCUGGUGGCGAGUGGCGAACGGGUGAGUAAUACAUCGGAACAUGUCCUGUAGUGGGGGAUAGCCCGGCGAAAGCCGGAUUAAUACCGCAUACGAUCUACGGAUGAAAGCGGGGGACCUUCGGGCCUCGCGCUAUAGGGUUGGCCGAUGGCUGAUUAGCUAGUUGGUGGGGUAAAGGCCUACCAAGGCGACGAUCAGUAGCUGGUCUGAGAGGACGACCAGCCACACUGGGACUGAGACACGGCCCAGACUCCUACGGGAGGCAGCAGUGGGGAAUUUUGGACAAUGGGCGAAAGCCUGAUCCAGCAAUGCCGCGUGUGUGAAGAAGGCCUUCGGGUUGUAAAGCACUUUUGUCCGGAAAGAAAUCCUUGGCUCUAAUACAGUCGGGGGAUGACGGUACCGGAAGAAUAAGCACCGGCUAACUACGUGCCAGCAGCCGCGGUAAUACGUAGGGUGCAAGCGUUAAUCGGAAUUACUGGGCGUAAAGCGUGCGCAGGCGGUUUGCUAAGACCGAUGUGAAAUCCCCGGGCUCAACCUGGGAACUGCAUUGGUGACUGGCAGGCUAGAGUAUGGCAGAGGGGGGUAGAAUUCCACGUGUAGCAGUGAAAUGCGUAGAGAUGUGGAGGAAUACCGA
This 654-nucleotide ribosomal RNA is filed under the name Burkholderia cepacia. RNAcentral describes it as "bacterial SSU rRNA". It matches the Rfam family "Bacterial small subunit ribosomal RNA", at positions 65 to 712 of the family's 1533-position model. Lineage: Bacteria; Pseudomonadati; Pseudomonadota; Betaproteobacteria; Burkholderiales; Burkholderiaceae. The record is from RNAcentral.